AGAUUGCAUGUGCGAAGCACGACAAGGUUAAUCCGAGUGAUUUCUGCUAAGGAAAUCUUUUGCCAGUCGUAAAACCGCUGGUGAAUAAGGGGUGGGCAAGUUCUGGUGUCAGCCGCCGCGGUAAAACA
RNAcentral lists this ribosomal RNA (128 nucleotides) under uncultured crenarchaeote. RNAcentral describes it as "partial 16S ribosomal RNA". It matches the Rfam family "Archaeal small subunit ribosomal RNA", at positions 343 to 477 of the family's 1478-position model. Lineage: Archaea; Thermoproteati; Thermoproteota. The record is from RNAcentral.